RNAcentral lists this transfer RNA (69 nucleotides) under Felis catus (domestic cat). It matches the Rfam family "tRNA". From Rfam's summary of the family: Transfer RNA (tRNA) molecules are approximately 80 nucleotides in length. The record is from Rfam by way of RNAcentral. Lineage: Eukaryota; Metazoa; Chordata; Mammalia; Carnivora; Felidae.
GCCUAGCUAGCUCGGUAGAGUGUGCGACUUUUGAUCUCGGGGUCAUGAGUUCAAGUCCCAUGUUGGGUG